AAGUCGUAACAAGGUUUCCGUAGGUGAACCUGCGGAAGGAUCAUUAACAAAUGAAACGAAAAUACAACCAACCUUGUGUGCAUUCUUUAAAAAAAAAAAUUUUUCUCGAAGGAAAAAAAAUUUUUCUUUCUCGAAAAAUAUAUAAUCAACUCUUCUAAAAAAAAAAUCAUGUUGAACCUUUUUUUUGAUAUAACAAAAAUAAAACAACUUUCAACAACGGAUCUCUUGGCUCUC
This 234-nucleotide unclassified non-coding RNA is filed under the name fungal sp. RNAcentral describes it as "partial internal transcribed spacer region". The stretch from base 1 to 46 matches the Rfam family "Eukaryotic small subunit ribosomal RNA", at positions 1786 to 1831 of the family's 1831-position model. The record is from RNAcentral. Lineage: Eukaryota; Fungi.